GACAGAGGGUGCAAACGUUGUUCGGAAUUACUGGGCGUAAAGCGCGUGUAGGCGGCCCUGCAAGUCGGAUGUGAAAUCCCACGGCUCAACCGUGGAAGUGCAUUCGAAACUGCAGGGCUAGAGUCCUGGAGAGGAAGGUGGAAUGCUUGGUGUAGAGGUGAAAUUCGUAGAUAUCAAGCGGAACACCGGUGGCGAAGGCGGCCUUCUGGACAGUGACUGACGCUGAGACGCGAAAGCGUGGGGAGCA
Molecule: ribosomal RNA, 247 nt
Filed under: uncultured bacterium
Lineage: Bacteria
Description: partial 16S ribosomal RNA
Rfam family: Bacterial small subunit ribosomal RNA
Source: RNAcentral